ACCAUUGUUUUUAUUUCUUCCAGGUCUCACAGGGAGCAGGAACUCCUGGGGCUGCUUUGGGUGCAGGGCUGGAGCUGCUGGGCAGAAGCCUUGCAGGGUCCCUGGGCUGUUGCAUAAUCCAGGCACAGAGCUGCUUUCUUCCCUGGGUGGAUGUCAAGUGAGCCAUUGUUUCAGGGAUUAGCACAAGUGUCAGCACAUUGAAGGCACCAAAACAUACACUAAAAACUUGUGACAUUUGUGCCUGUGAUAAUUAAAUUAAAUUGUGGUGUGAGUUCUGCUGGUAAAUUUACUUGACUUUCCUGGAAUUAGCCUGGUUGGAUCCAAGACAUUUCUCAGGGAGUGAAAGAUUUGCAAAGUCUCACUCUGAGGAUCCUGAAAUGUUUUGCAUUUUCUUCUCUUCCUUAUUCCCUUCUCUUUGGGCAGCAAAGAAAAAUUCAAGUUUUAAGGUGCUUUGAUUUGUCAGAGUGGAUUAAGUCGAGAUAUUUACAAUCUCACUUGAGAUGUUUACAGUGAGCUGCUCAUUUAAGCCUUGCUAAUGAAGGGAGUCCUGGAGCAUGUGAGCUGACCCAAAUGCCUGGCUUGGGGCACAGUUAAUCCUCUAAGAGCAGUGCUGCUCAGGCUGAGAGUGCAGGUGCUGCUCAGCCCAGGUGUGCAGGUGCUGCUCAGCCCAGGGGUGCAGGUGCUGCUCAGCCCAGGUGUGCAGGUGCUGCUCAGCCCAGGUGUGCAGGUGCUGCUCAGCCCAGGUGUGCAGGUGCUGCUCAGCCCAGGGGUGCAGGUGCUGCUCAGCCCAGGUGCUGCUCAGCCCAGGUGUGCAGGUGCUGCUCAGGCUGAGAGUGCAGGUGCUGCUCAGCCCAGGUGUGCAGGUGCUGCUCAGCCCAGGGGUGCAGGUGCUGCUCAGCCCAGGUGUGCAGGUGCUGCUCAGCCCAGGUGUGCAGGUGCUGCUCAGCCCAGGUGUGCAGGUGCUGCUCAGCCCAGGUGUGCAGGUGCUGCUCAGCCCAGGUGUGCAGGUGCUGCUCAGCCCAGGUGUGCAGGUGCUGCUCAGCCCAGGUGUGCAGGUGCUGCUCAGCCCAGGUGUGCAGGUGCUGCUCAGCCCAGGUGUGCAGGUGCUGCUCAGGCUGAGAGUGCAGGUGCUGCUCAGCCCAGGUGUGCAGGUGCUGCUCAGGCUGAGAGUGCAGGUGCUGCUCAGCCCAGGUGUGCAGGUGCUGCUCAGCCCAGGUGUGCAGGUGCUGCUCUGCUGAGAGCCCUUUGUGCAGAGCUGCAGCGAGGGCUGGGGCUCCUCUUGCUGCCCCACUGCAGACCACUCUGUCUGAGCUUCUGUUCCC
Molecule: long non-coding RNA, 1322 nt
Organism: Serinus canaria (Common canary)
Lineage: Eukaryota; Metazoa; Chordata; Aves; Passeriformes; Fringillidae
Exons: 3
Source: RefSeq, a predicted model, not a curated record